GACGAACGCUGGCGGCGCGCCUAACACAUGCAAGUCGAACGAGCGAGAGAGAGCUUGCUUUCUCGAGCGAGUGGCGAACGGGUGAGUAACGCGUGAGGAACCUGCCUCAAAGAGGGGGACAACAGUUGGAAACGACUGCUAAUACCGCAUAAGCCCACGGCUCGGCAUCGAGCAGGGGGAAAAGGAGCAAUCCGCUUUGAGAUGGCCUCGCGUCCGAUUAGCUAGUUGGUGGGGUAACGGCCCACCAAGGCGACGAUCGGUAGCCGGACUGAGAGGUUGAACGGCCACAUUGGGACUGAGACACGGCCCAGACUCCUACGGGAAGCAGCAGUGGGGAAUAUUGCACAAUGGGGGAAACCCUGAUGCAGCGACGCCGCGUGGAGGAAGAAGGUCUUCGGAUUGUAAACUCCUGUUGUUGGGGAAGAUAAUGACGGUACCCAACAAGGAAGUGACGGCUAACUACGUG
Molecule: ribosomal RNA, 466 nt
Filed under: uncultured bacterium
Lineage: Bacteria
Description: partial 16S ribosomal RNA
Rfam family: Bacterial small subunit ribosomal RNA
Source: RNAcentral